Molecule: ribosomal RNA, 468 nt
Filed under: uncultured bacterium
Lineage: Bacteria
Description: partial 16S ribosomal RNA
Rfam family: Bacterial small subunit ribosomal RNA
Source: RNAcentral
GAUGAACGCUGGCGGCGUGCUUAACACAUGCAAGUCGAACGGAAAGGCCCAAGCUUGCUUGGGUACUCGAGUGGCGAACGGGUGAGUAACACGUGGGUGAUCUGCCCUGCACUUCGGGAUAAGCCUGGGAAACUGGGUCUAAUACCGGAUAGGACGAUGGUUUGGAUGCCAUUGUGGAAAGUUUUUUCGGUGUGGGAUGAGCUCGCGGCCUAUCAGCUUGUUGGUGGGGUAAUGGCCUACCAAGGCGUCGACGGGUAGCCGGCCUGAGAGGGUGUACGGCCACAUUGGGACUGAGAUACGGCCCAGACUCCUACGGGAGGCAGCAGUGGGGAAUAUUGCACAUUGGGCGCAAGCCUGAUGCAGCGACGCCGCGUGGGGGAUGACGGCCUUCGGGUUGUAAACUCCUUUCGCUAGGGACGAAGCGUUUUUGUGACGGUACCUGGAGAAGAAGCACCGGCUAACUACGUG